UCUGCAUGUGCGUGCAUGUGUGUGUGUGUGUGUAUUUCUGAUUUCUGUCGCUCACCCACUUUUUGGAUUGGAUAAUUGCUAUAAAUCUAUCUCUGAGUUUACUAAUUGUAUGUUCUACCAGUUCAAAUCUGCUUUUGAGUAUUUCUAUUGAAAUUUCUUAUAAAUUAUUAUAGCUUCCUUUUCUUUUUCUUUCUUUUUUCUCUGUACAGUCAAGAUCUUGCUAUAUUUCCCAGGCUGGUUUCAAACUCCUGGUCUCAAGCAAUCCUUCUGCCUCAACCUUCUAAAAUGCAGAGAUUAGCAACAUACUUUAAAGCAUUGAAGAAGGAUAUCCACAGAUGUUACCACUGCUUGUUCAGAAAGAUUGCUGAAUAGAGUGUUUAUAAGAUCAGAGCCUCCCAGGCUACAUUAUAGAGGAACGUGUGCCAGUUUCCUUGGCUUCGACUGAUGGAGUUUUAGAGAAGUCUUUAAUAGCAACACCCAGCAGUCUUAAGUAAGUAUUACAGUAAAAUUCCACCUGAAAGUAAGAAUUAUUUAACAUACAGGAGCUUGUAAUAUAAUUAUCUGAAUGAUUAUCUACCAAAAUAAUAAUAUUUUCCAACCAAUAGCAUGGAUUUAAAUGAAAACAAAACCCAGGUUCAAAGAGACUUAAUAUAAAGAAAAGACUUGUUCCAAUUUGCAACUGAAUGUGUCUUAAGCCAGCUAUUUUAUGAACAUAGUUAACAAUCCUUUAAAACACUACUUCACCCAGUAUUUUUCUUCAAAAAUGGUAAAAUUAAAAAAAAAAUAGCAAAACAUUCACAGUUAGAGAAUCACGCUAUCCCAUCAAACUAACAUUGACUUUCUUCA
This 846-nucleotide long non-coding RNA is filed under the name Callithrix jacchus (white-tufted-ear marmoset). RNAcentral describes it as "lncRNA (ENSCJAG00000079918.1)". Lineage: Eukaryota; Metazoa; Chordata; Mammalia; Primates; Cebidae. The record is from RNAcentral.